GAUGAACGCUGGCGGCGUGCCUAAUACAUGCAAGUCGAGCGAACAGACGAGGAGCUUGCUCCUCUGACGUUAGCGGCGGAUGGGUGAGUAACACGUGGAUAACCUACCUAUAAGAAUGGGAUAACUUCGGGAAACCGGAGCUAAUACCGGAUAAUCUAUUGAACCGCAUGGUUCAAUAGUGAAAGACGGUUUUGCUGUCACCUAUAGAUGGAUCAGCGCCGCAUUAGCUAGUUGGUAAGGUAACGGCUUACCAAGGCAACGAUGCGUAGCCGACCUGACAGGGUGAUCGGCCACACUGGAACUGAGACACGGUCCAGACUCCUACGGGAGGCAGCAGUAGGGAAUCUUCCGCAAUGGGCGAAAGCCGGACGGAGCAACGCCGCGUGAGUGAUGAAGGUCUUCGGAUCGUAAAACUCUGUUAUUAGGGAAGAACAAAUGUGUAAGUAACUAUGCACGUCUUGACGGUACCUAAUCAGAAAGCCACGGCUAACUACGUG
This 497-nucleotide ribosomal RNA is filed under the name uncultured bacterium. Its description in RNAcentral is "partial 16S ribosomal RNA". It matches the Rfam family "Bacterial small subunit ribosomal RNA", at positions 28 to 507 of the family's 1533-position model. The record is from RNAcentral.